Molecule: long non-coding RNA, 1696 nt
Organism: Rosa chinensis
Lineage: Eukaryota; Viridiplantae; Streptophyta; Magnoliopsida; Rosales; Rosaceae
Exons: 3
Source: RefSeq, a predicted model, not a curated record
CUUAAUCUAGAGGCAUCGAAUUAUCAGCUGAGAAUAAGUUCCUUCCUCGUCUUACAAUUAUUUGAUAAGUCAGAACACGCUCUCUACAUCUCCAAUUGCACACUUGGCCUUUUGGCUGUGUGCUGGCACGCUCCACAAUCUAUUCAUCAAAUGAUGUUUGUUCCUUGAUCUCUCGGCUAUAUAAGCCGAGGUGAUUUUCAGAGGCAACACGCAUUCCUUAAUAGUUGUGUUCGAUUUUGAUCUUCCCUUGGAUUCGUCAUUUUCAAGAAACAUAUUCAUAGGAGGCUUGGCGAAGACCACAACCUUAGCCCAGUGAUUGAGCGAAGGAGAAGAGGACGGAUUUGGGUCGGGGUUUGUUUUGGCUUCCUUUCUUUUGAUUUAAAAAGCUUCCAUUUGUCUUGUGGAAUUUUUAUUUUUAAUCUUUUAUUAAUUGAAUUCCAGCCAUCAAGGGGAACUCUGUGAUUCAAAGGCAGGAUCUGAUGCUUCGGACAGUAUCUUAACUAGGUGUGCUCUUUGAGAGAAACUGGGUUUAUAUCUAUCUCUCUGAUUCUCUCUAUAUGUCAUAUAAUUGAACUUUGUGUAUUGAUUUCCGUGGUUUGAGCAAUGGCAGUGUUGGACGAUGGGAAUCAGACGCAGGGGAACAGUUUCAUAUAUGUGACUUUUGAUUUUCGAUUGUAAUGUUUACGAGGUUUUAUUUUUUCCAUAAGUGUUUCUUUCCGAUUCUUCAUUUUUUAGUUGGUUUCUGUUCAGCUGUGGUGUUACAUUGUUUAGCUGUUAGAGAUCUUUAGCUAAUCACUUUGGAAUGAAACUGCUGUGUGAUUGCUUAUAGUUUUGGGAGGACUUGAACUGUUUAUACAUGCGAAGUAGCAGUGUAAAUUUCUACAGUUUAUUAAUGUUGGAACCAUGGUUUCUCCGAUAGUUUUUGCACGCCGUAGUUUGUCUUAUCUCAUGAGUGAAAUGCCACAGGAAGCCUUGAAUAAUGCAUCACAAGCCCAAGUGAUUUCCCCUAUGGCACAUUGCAUCCUAUAUGCAAGCUGCAGCUCUUUUUUUACUUGGAAGGGAUGAUGAGACACAAGUAGCCCUCAAAGAGCGUUGUGUACUUGAAACUAAAAGGAAAGCAACUGCUUGACAAUCUAGUUCAUCAGAUCUAAACCCGAGGCUCUUUCCCUUUUAUUGGAUUGCUGUUUUCUGAGAGAUGAGCAUAGGACUGCAGAAACAGGGAUCAUAACUCAAAUCAAUCAGUCUUGAAUAUAGGCAACAGAGUUGAAGCAGAAGUGAUCCUUAUCGUCUAUUUGCAUGGCUGGUUCAUUUGUUGUGGUCUAGAAGCAUUCUUUUGCAACACUAUUGGAUGGGUUGGUUUGGUCCCUUUGCAUUGGGUGGAACCGUGGGAUUAACAGGGAAACUUCUGUUGUUAAUUACAAAUGUGCCCUUCAUUGUUGUUCAUUUACCUGUUUCCAGUACAACAAUCUUGGGAAAUUACUAUGAUGCAUAUGGAACAUUAUAUUUUUGUAAAAGGGUUCUAACUUUUGUGGAUGUUGCAUUGACAAGGUCAAGGUGAAUAGAAAAAUUGCCAUUACCAUGGGUUUUAUUUAUGUACAGUGCCAUUUGUCAAGGUCACUCCUGUUGACUUGAAAUCAGCUACUUAUGUUCUGUUAGCACUUGUUAAUAAAAUUUGUUUGAUUUAUGUACAGUGCCA